Dunckerocampus dactyliophorus (ringed pipefish) is the source of this 137-nucleotide small nucleolar RNA. RefSeq annotates it as small nucleolar RNA SNORA5. The record is from RefSeq and is a predicted model, not a curated record. NCBI's taxonomy places the organism in Eukaryota, Metazoa, Chordata, Actinopteri, Syngnathiformes, Syngnathidae. The transcript has a single exon.
GGCAGCCUUGUCAAAUUCAGUGCAUCCUCCUCAGUGGGUGCCACUGGCCAAAAUGGCUGCCACAGCAAAAGUGUAGUUAAUGGGCCCCACUGUGCUUCAACACAGCCCCUGGGGAUAAAUAUUUACUACACACAGGU